GACGAACGCUGGCGGCGUGCCUAACACAUGCAAGUCGAACGGGGCUCUUUGGAUCGAGACUUCGGUCAAGUGAAUCUGAGCUUAGUGGCGGACGGGUGAGUAACGCGUGAGCAACCUGCCUUUCAGAGGGGGACAACAGUUGGAAACGACUGCUAAUACCGCAUAAUGUGUUUUGGGGGCAUCCCUGAAAUACCAAAGAUUUAUCGCUGAAAGAUGGGCUCGCGUCUGAUUAGCUGGAUGGCGGGGUAACGGCCCACCAUGGCGACGAUCAGUAGCCGGACUGAGAGGUUGAACGGCCACAUUGGGACUGAGAUACGGCCCAG
RNAcentral lists this ribosomal RNA (323 nucleotides) under uncultured bacterium. Its description in RNAcentral is "bacterial SSU rRNA". It matches the Rfam family "Bacterial small subunit ribosomal RNA", at positions 28 to 334 of the family's 1533-position model. The record is from RNAcentral.